Molecule: long non-coding RNA, 672 nt
Filed under: Homo sapiens (human)
Lineage: Eukaryota; Metazoa; Chordata; Mammalia; Primates; Hominidae
Description: HSALNT0029100
Source: RNAcentral
GAGGUCUGCAUGUUUUUUGGGCCUGUGGGGGACGUCCUCUGUGGAACUGCCCAGAGGAAAAGAGUCAGGACCCAGACAAAGCCUCGUUUCUAGAGACUCAUCUUUUGAGGACUUAGGACUAUUGGGCCUUUAGAGUGGGGAAAGGUGUGAUCCAGCUUGGCAACUCCUGCCCCUGGCCAUCCAGGGGGCAGGGGGCAAGAAGGGGCUGUGGUGCUGGCACCAGGCUCUUGGUCUGGAUGCACCUGGAUGGAGAAACCAAGCCACCUUGCUGCCCCAUCAUCUUGAGGCAAACAAGUUAGCUCGUGCUAUGAAACAAAGUGCCUUGGGCCUCCUACCCCAGUUGCCACCAUGGCUGGUGCUGGUGGCUCUCCUCUUAGACCAAUUUGUGGAGCUCUCUCACCCACUACUUUCACUCCCCCGGUCUAACUGGCCAGCAGGCGGCGUCAUCCGAACUCCGUGAUAACAAGUCUCCUCCAGGCUGGCAGGGCCGGGCCGUGGCCCAGGGGGCACUCCUGGCUAUAGAGGCCUGCCGGCCCGGCCCCCCACGCUCCCUCCCCCGGCUCGGGCACGUUACCUGCUGUGCCAAUGAGUUUCUUGGAUUUGUUGAAGAUCUGAUCACCUGGGUUAGGAGGUGGCGCUACGUCCUGGCCCUGCCGCGCCAGCAGAGGGUUG